Molecule: long non-coding RNA, 714 nt
Filed under: Amborella trichopoda
Lineage: Eukaryota; Viridiplantae; Streptophyta; Magnoliopsida; Amborellales; Amborellaceae
Description: long non-coding RNA (ATRI_LNC002999)
Source: RNAcentral
UCUCUCUCUCUCUCUCUCUCUAGCUUCCUGCCCUAAUCCCCUGGAAAGAAACUCUCUAUCUCUCUAGAUAUUCCCUGCCCUAGAAGGCAGGUCUCUCUCUCUCUAGAAGUAGAAGGAAAGGUUUCUCACUCUACUAUAACUUCUCGUCUUUUUCUCUCUCUUCCUUGGGAUAUCCCCUCCUCGCGUGCCUACCCUAAAAAGGAAAAACCCUCUCUCGCUCUACCCUCUGCUUCCGUUGCCCUCUGAUAUCUGCCUGCGUGUGCUUAAGUGUCUCUCUCUGACGUCCUCACUCACUUUCUCUCUCUAACUUCCAGCUCUCCAGACUGCCUUUCAAAGAAGGGAUCCAUCCCUUAUUUUAUCUCUCUAACGCCCCUUCUCAUUCUUCACAUAAAGAAACUCCCCCUUCCUCUCUCUUCAGAUAAAGAAAAGGCUUUCUCUCUCUAUCCCCCUUCCUCUCUCUUCAGAUAAAGAAAAGGCUUUCUCUCUCUACCCCAUUCUCGCUCUUCAGCCAAAGAAAAGGCUUUCUCUCUCUACCACUUUCGGUCUCUUCAGCUAAAGAAAAGGCUUUCUCUCUCUACCCCAUUCGGUCUCUUCAGCUAAAGAAACCGGCUUCCCAUAAAACAGUGACGCACGCUUAUAAUAUGAAGAGAGACCAUAGUUAAGAGAGUGAUGAAAUGAUCCUUGCUAAUUUUUUCGAAAUCGCUAGGUCCACCC